This 836-nucleotide long non-coding RNA is filed under the name Musa acuminata (dwarf banana). RNAcentral's name for it is "long non-coding RNA (MACU_LNC007953)". Lineage: Eukaryota; Viridiplantae; Streptophyta; Magnoliopsida; Zingiberales; Musaceae. The record is from RNAcentral.
AUCACCAUCCUCACGGUCAUGGGCGUGGUCAAGUCCAACAGCAAGUGCUCCACGGUGGGCAUCCAAGGGAUUGCCUGGGCCUUCGGUGGCAUGAUCUUUGCCUUGGUCUACUGUACCGCCGGGAUCUCUGGUAAGGGAUCUGCUUUCCCUUCCAUUUGGGUCUCUGAAACCUUUUGGUCGACUCACUUCUGCUAAAUCGUCAGGUGGCCACAUCAACCCCGCGGUGACCUUCGGGCUGUUCCUGGCGAGGAAGCUGUCGCUGACCAGGGCUCUGUUCUACAUGGUGAUGCAGUGCCUGGGCGCCAUCUGCGGUGCCGGUGUGGUCAAGGGGUACCAGAAGGGGCUCUAUGAGAGCAACGGUGGCGGAGCUAACGUCGUGGCUCCUGGCUACACCAAGGGUGAUGGCCUGGGUGCUGAGAUCGUCGGCACCUUCAUCCUCGUCUACACUGUUUUCUCUGCUACUGACGCCAAAAGAAACGCCAGGGACUCUCAUGUUCCCGUGAGUACAUGUCCAAGUUCUUGAUGUUGACCAUGGUUGAUCUGAUCUAACAAGUGUUACGGAUCUGUGCAGAUUUUGGCUCCCCUCCCCAUUGGGUUUGCCGUGUUCCUUGUCCACCUGGCUACCAUCCCCAUCACCGGCACCGGCAUCAACCCUGCCAGAAGCCUUGGCGCUGCCAUCAUCUACAACAAGAAGCAUGCCUGGGAUGAUCAUGUAAGUGUGUCUGUGGAACCCUCACAAGCCUCAGAUGACACUACUUACUAACUGUCCUGUUUCCUUGUCUCAGUGGAUCUUUUGGGUUGGACCCUUCAUUGGAGCUGCUCUUGCUGCCAUCUAC